Molecule: ribosomal RNA, 465 nt
Filed under: uncultured bacterium
Lineage: Bacteria
Description: partial 16S ribosomal RNA
Rfam family: Bacterial small subunit ribosomal RNA
Source: RNAcentral
CCUACGGGAGGCAGCAGUAGGGAAUCUUCCACAAUGGGCGAAAGCCUGAUGGAGCAACGCCGCGUGGGUGAAGAAGGUCUUCGGAUCGUAAAACCCUGUUGUUAGAGACGAAAGUGCGUGAGAGUAACUGUUCACGUUUCGACGGUAUCUAACCAGAAAGCCACGGCUAACUACGUGCCAGCAGCCGCGGUAAUACGUAGGUGGCAAGCGUUAUCCGGAUUUAUUGGGCGUAAAGGGAACGCAGGCGGUCUUUUAAGUCUGAUGUGAAAGCCUUCGGCUUAACCGGAGUAGGGCAUUGGAAACUGGAAGACUUGAGUGCAGAAGAGGAGAGUGGAAUUCCAUGUGUAGCGGUGAAAUGCGUAGAUAUAUGGAAGAACACCAGUGGCGAAAGCGGCUCUCUGGGCUGUAACUGACGCUGAGGUUCGAAAGCGUGGGUAGCAAACAGGAUUAGAUACCCGAGUAGUC